Molecule: unclassified non-coding RNA, 55 nt
Filed under: Salmonella enterica
Lineage: Bacteria; Pseudomonadati; Pseudomonadota; Gammaproteobacteria; Enterobacterales; Enterobacteriaceae
Source: RNAcentral
GUGACUAGCAUACAGGGGCCUCGGGUUAAUUUGAAAAAAUUACUCGGGGCUUUCU